CAUACUUGAAGUGUGCAGUGGUAAAUUAAUUAAUUUAAAAAAAACAAGCUAAAUAAUUUAAAAAUAUUUUAUUUUCUUCACUGAAACACAAUAAUAAAUAAUUAUUCAUUAAAUAAUUAAAUAAUAUAUGUGUCUCUCUGCGUUAUUCGGAUAGAAGGUGUAAAUACUCAAUUAGAAAGAGCUGCCUGUACGUAAAAGUACGUAAAGUUAUUUUUUGAUUUUUCUACAACAUAUUAAUCGAAAUGAAGACGUCAUUUGGCUAUCUGGGAAUCGAUUUGCUGCAGUUACACAAGUGAUUUGAUAAAAAUGCACUAUGUGGUUGAUUGAAGUCAUACAGUUUGCACAUUAUCAGUACCAGCCACAAUGACAUAUCAUUACUUAUUUACAUUAACCGCUGCUUGUCAUCCAGAUGUAUUAUGUUUUCGAAUUUUACAAAUUAAUAAUCCAAAUUAAUAUAAGGCUCUUAGUACAAUGCGUUA
Long non-coding RNA from Microplitis mediator, 479 nucleotides. RefSeq lists it as uncharacterized. Lineage: Eukaryota; Metazoa; Arthropoda; Insecta; Hymenoptera; Braconidae. The transcript is spliced from 3 exons. The record is from RefSeq and is a predicted model, not a curated record.